Molecule: non-coding RNA, 24 nt
Filed under: Arabidopsis thaliana (thale cress)
Lineage: Eukaryota; Viridiplantae; Streptophyta; Magnoliopsida; Brassicales; Brassicaceae
Source: RNAcentral
AGGGGCUAAGGGAGGAAAUACUUA